RNAcentral lists this ribosomal RNA (253 nucleotides) under uncultured bacterium. RNAcentral's name for it is "partial 16S ribosomal RNA". It matches the Rfam family "Bacterial small subunit ribosomal RNA", at positions 524 to 776 of the family's 1533-position model. The record is from RNAcentral.
UACAGAGGUCUCAAGCGUUGUUCGGAUUCAUUGGGCGUAAAGGGUGUGUAGGUGGCGCGGUAAGUCGGGUGUGAAAUCUUGGAGCUUAACUCCGAAACUGCAUUCGAUACUGCCGUGCUUGAGGACUGGAGAGGAGACUGGAAUUUACGGUGUAGCGGUGAAAUGCGUAGAUAUCGGAAGGAAGACCAGUGGCGAAGGCGGGUCUCUGGACAGUUCCUGACGCUGAGGCACGAAGGCCUGGGGAGCAAACGGG